GACGAACGCUGGCGGCGUGCCUAAUACAUGCAAGUUGAGCGCUGAAGGUUGGUACUUGUACCAACUGGAUGAGCAGCGAACGGGUGAGUAACGCGUGGGGAAUCUGCCUUUGAGCGGGGGACAACGAUUGGAAACGAAUGACUAAUACCGCAUAAAAACUUUAAACACAAGUUUUAAGUUUGAAAGAUGCAAUUGCAUCACUCAAAGAUGAUCCCGCGUUGUAUUAGCUAGUUGGUGAGGUAAAGGCUCACCAAGGCGAUGAUACAUAGCCGACCUGAGAGGGUGAUCGGCCACAUUGGGACUGAGACACGGCCCAAAACUCCUACGGGAGGCAGCAGUAGGGAAUCUUCGGCAAUGGACGAAAGUCUGACCGAGCAACGCCGCGUGAGUGAAGAAGGUUUUCGGAUCGUAAAACUCUGUUGGUAGAGAAGAACGUUGGUGAGAGUGGAAAGCUCAUCAAGUGACGGUAACUACCCAGAAAGGGACGGCUAACUACGUGCCAGCAGCCGG
RNAcentral lists this ribosomal RNA (510 nucleotides) under uncultured bacterium. RNAcentral's name for it is "bacterial SSU rRNA". It matches the Rfam family "Bacterial small subunit ribosomal RNA", at positions 28 to 518 of the family's 1533-position model. The record is from RNAcentral.